Molecule: long non-coding RNA, 550 nt
Organism: Lingula anatina
Lineage: Eukaryota; Metazoa; Brachiopoda; Lingulata; Lingulida; Lingulidae
Source: RefSeq, a predicted model, not a curated record
GCUGUUUUUAGUCUUGAGUAAAACACGAAGUAAAAGGUUGCCGUGCGCGCUUUUCUGUCAUUAAUACUGCGCUAUAGGUCAAUGCUAGAGAAUCGGCGCGAAAGAUAUCCCAUUACAGACUAUCUGCGCAUGCGCAAGGCCAGGCGGUUGAAAAUGCGCGGACUGAAAGACUGUGCAGGCCGGUCACAGAAGAUAAUUUCCAAGCCACCGUAUUGAUUAUGGUCGACUUCUUUGCAAGAUGGCAAUUGUUGCGGCGAUAAUUUAACUGACGAGGAUGAAGAGAAUGAGUAAAUGCAUCAGAUGCUAUUAAAAGACAGGCUGUCUGAACAGCAUAUAAAAGCAAACAAAGUGGAUGAGCUAAGGCAAAAAAAAUUGGAAGAGAAGAAUGGGGUGCCAUUAAAAGAUACUACAGAUCUGAAAAGUAGGAGGAUGUUCUAAAACAAGCAAAAGGACUGGAUGAGCUGAAACAAAAAAUAUGGAAAAAAAGUAAGGAGGAGGCAAAAGGCAAAGAUUUGUGCAGGCAAAGUGUUCACUUGACAGACGAUUCCAG